This 533-nucleotide ribosomal RNA is filed under the name uncultured bacterium. Its description in RNAcentral is "partial 16S ribosomal RNA". It matches the Rfam family "Bacterial small subunit ribosomal RNA", at positions 33 to 541 of the family's 1533-position model. The record is from RNAcentral.
AGUGAACGCUGGCGGUAGGCCUAACACAUGCCAGUCGAACGGCAGCACAGUAAGAGCUUGCUCUUACGGGUGGCGAGUGGCGGACGGGUGAGGAAUACAUCGGAAUCUACUUUUUCGUGGGGGAUAACGUAGGGAAACUUACGCUAAUACCGCAUACGACCUACGGGUGAAAGCAGGGGAUCUUCGGACCUUGCGCGAUUGAAUGAGCCGAUGUCGGAUUAGCUAGUUGGCGGGGUAAAGGCCCACCAAGGCGACGAUCCGUAGCUGGUCUGAGAGGAUGAUCAGCCACACUGGAACUGAGACCCGCUGCAGCAUCAGAAGGAGAGCAGUAGGGGGAAAGAUGGGAGAAGGGGCGGAAGCGUGGUCCAGCCAUACGGCGGGGGUGAAGAAGGCCUGCGGGUUGGAACGCCUUUUGGUGGGGAAAGAAAAGCAGCAGCGUAACACGCGUCUGUGCGAACGGUAACCAAAAAAUAAGCACCGGCUAACGGGGGCCCAGCAGCCGGGGAAACAUGCGGAAGAGCACACGUCGGAAC